This 835-nucleotide ribosomal RNA is filed under the name Myelochroa metarevoluta. RNAcentral describes it as "LSU rRNA". It matches the Rfam family "Bacterial large subunit ribosomal RNA", at positions 826 to 1707 of the family's 2925-position model. Lineage: Eukaryota; Fungi; Ascomycota; Lecanoromycetes; Lecanorales; Parmeliaceae. The record is from RNAcentral.
AGUCGAAUUGUGAUCUCAUGCAACUAGUACUUAUUGCCUUAUAAAUACCUAUAUAAAUAAAGUACUUUUUGUGGACAUUGGGGGGUCGUGAAGACUUUAUCAGUGAGUUUUUGUUCUCGGAAGGACUAGAUAUGAAUAUUGAAUAAUCAGACAUAGUACGAAAAGGUUGUAUGUCUAAAGGGAAACAGCCCAGAACAAGAGUUAAUAAGGUUCCAAAAUUAUUGUUAAGUGAAAUUGAGGCAGUAUUUAUUCUAAACAGCCAGGCAAUAGGCUUAGAAGCGGCCAUUUUCUGAAGACCUCGUAACAGAGCACUGGUUUUAUUUAUAAUAAGGAUAAAAGCACCGAUAAUUUAACGGAUCUAAACAAUAUACCGAGACCUUGUCUAAAUAUAUUAAUGUUUACAUACAUUACAUUGUAUAUUUAGGGUAGCAGAACGUUGGUUAGGUAUAUUAUUACGCCUUUAUAAGGCAUAUAAGGUAUAUAUGCCGUUACAAACCAAGUGAUAAUGCUGACAUGAGUAACGAUAAAGGGGUAUACCCUCGCCUAAAGCUUAUGGAAUUUAAUUAAAGUUACGGCCUCUAAGUUUAUUAUAUAUUUAAUGAAUAAUAUGUUAUUCAUUAAUAAUCCCAAAAGGGGUAAACGAUGAGCAAAUCUAGGAUUUAUAGAACACAACAUUUUUAUAUAGUGACAAAUGUUCUGGAAAACUAUAGAUCUCAUUAGCUAAAUAGUAAUAAACUAAAUCAGAUGACAUGUUUAGCAAAUGUUUUACCGUACCUAACUACUAACACAAGUAAGCAAGUAGAGUAUACGAAGGCGUUCGAGUGAACAAUCAUUA